AUGGUUGCAUACUCUACCUCUCUGCUUCUACUAACUUUGAUUCAUCUGCUUCUGCGCUCCUCGGCUCGUGAAUUCCUAUCGCCGGGCUCCUUUCUCUCUGUAGAGGAUAGCUCGGACAGGCUCCAUUCACCUGAUGGUACUUUCAGCUGUGGCUUCAACAACAUUUCUCAAAAUGCCUUUGUCUUCUCUAUUUGA
RNAcentral lists this ribosomal RNA (195 nucleotides) under Triticum aestivum (bread wheat). RNAcentral's name for it is "partial small subunit ribosomal RNA". Lineage: Eukaryota; Viridiplantae; Streptophyta; Magnoliopsida; Poales; Poaceae. The record is from RNAcentral.